CCNUAACACAUGCAAGUCGCACGGUCAGCAAUGGCAGUGGCGGACGGGUGAGUAACACGUAGGAAUCUAUCCCAGGGUGGGGGACAACAGCGGGAAACUGCUGCUAAUACCGCAUGAUACCUGAGGGUCAAAGGCGCAAGUCGCCUUGGGAGGAGCCUGCGUCUGAUUAGCUUGUUGGUGAGGUAAAGGCUCACCAAGGCUACGAUCAGUAGCUGGUCUGAGAGGAUGAUCAGCCACAUUGGGACUGAGACACGGCCCAAACUCCUACGGGAGGCAGCAGUGGGGAAUAUUGGACAAUGGGCGAAAGCCUGAUCCAGCAAUGCCGCGUGUGUGAAGAAGGUCUUCGGAUUGUAAAGCACUUUUGGCAGGGACGAUGAUGACGGUACCUGCAGAAUAAGCCCCGGCUAACUUCGUG
Molecule: ribosomal RNA, 415 nt
Filed under: uncultured bacterium
Lineage: Bacteria
Description: bacterial SSU rRNA
Rfam family: Bacterial small subunit ribosomal RNA
Source: RNAcentral